Molecule: transfer RNA, 76 nt
Filed under: Candidatus Peregrinibacteria bacterium CG_4_10_14_0_2_um_filter_43_11
Lineage: Bacteria; Candidatus Peregrinibacteriota
Description: tRNA-Lys
Rfam family: tRNA
About the family: Transfer RNA (tRNA) molecules are approximately 80 nucleotides in length. Their secondary structure includes four short double-helical elements and three loops (D, anti-codon, and T loops). Further hydrogen bonds mediate the characteristic L-shaped molecular structure. tRNAs have two regions of fundamental functional importance: the anti-codon, which is responsible for specific mRNA codon recognition, and the 3' end, to which the tRNAs corresponding amino acid is attached (by aminoacyl-tRNA synthetases). tRNAs cope with the degeneracy of the genetic code in two manners: having more than one tRNA (with a specific anti-codon) for a particular amino acid; and 'wobble' base-pairing, i.e. permitting non-standard base-pairing at the 3rd anti-codon position.
Source: RNAcentral
GGGUCGUUAGCUCAGUCGGUAGAGCAGUAGCCUCUUAAGCUAUUUGUCCCGGGUUCGAGCCCCGGACGACCCACCA